UGGAAUAUAGUGUAAAGUGCACGAGGGUUUUUGGCUCCCUAAGGGGGGAAAGGAGUCCCCUAUUCUAA
Molecule: transfer RNA, 68 nt
Filed under: Patelloida saccharinoides
Lineage: Eukaryota; Metazoa; Mollusca; Gastropoda; Lottiidae
Description: tRNA-Gln
Source: RNAcentral